This 1240-nucleotide long non-coding RNA is filed under the name Mus pahari (shrew mouse). RNAcentral describes it as "lncRNA (MGP_PahariEiJ_G0005403.1)". Lineage: Eukaryota; Metazoa; Chordata; Mammalia; Rodentia; Muridae. The record is from RNAcentral.
UACACUGAGCUAUGGGACUUGCUCAGACUCACCUCCCGUUAGGAAACAGAAUCUAAUAAGAAACAGACAGUACACAAUGAAGUCAUCAAGGCCUGGUGUCUGGUGCAGGUAAGCCCCACCCCACAGGAGCUGGGGCUGUGGAGACAGAAGCGAAGAAAUUGAGACAUGGAAACGCAGGAUGACAUCCAGUGUCCAUUCUCAGAAAGACUGUUCUCUGAGAUGUUCCCCAAGGUGACGGCAGAUGUCAGCCUUGUGGAUAAAGCAGGCUCUGAAAGCACGCGGACAGGUUACAGACCUCUGUUCCUCGUUACCAUAAUAUUGAAUGCUCAUCUUUUCCCAGGCACGACAGCGAAUAUGUGCUCUGCCUGCUUGCUCACUGUUGUUUGUGCUGGAAAGAACCCGGGCCCAGCCCAGAGCCACGUUGCAGGGCUCAGGACUGCUCUGAAACACUGCCACCUCGUGGGGUGAUGAGGGUUCUGUAGCCCAGGAGUCCUUCUAGCAUGUGGGGACUCUCGGGACCUGUCAAACCAAGAGGGAGAGCCAACUCCUAGAGACCUGGAGGCUUCUAGUACUUCAGGACAGACACAAGCCACAGAACACGCAGAAAAGAGACAGAGAAAAAAGAGCAACGACUGUUCUGUCUGCAACGCUUAAAGCAGGCCACCUGUGGCUGAUCAAGAAGCACUGGUCCGUGUGGUCAUCCUUAAAUGGAAGUGUGCAUCUCGGUCUGGAGGCUUUACGAUGAUGCAUUCACAUCAAGCCUUUCAACUUCAAGCCACAGUGAGAGCCAGCCACAACGGCACCGGUCGACUAAGUCAGACUUUGCUAAGUGAAAAGGCUACACUGGACAGAGGCAGAAUCUACAUCCAAGCCAAAAAGCAUGGUCAGAGUUGCCUCCUCUGAGUUAAGUUCCCUCUUCUGCAAGGACUGUGUGACCCCUGGACAUUUGUUAGGUCAUGUCCAAAUAGCAUAGUUCAUACGGAGAACUAGAGACAACUGGUCAACCACGGAGCUGGACACUCUCAUUGUUUCAGAGAACUCUGGAGUCGAUUUUGAAAUCCAUUGUCAACUCUGUUUUUAACUUCUUGGGUUUAAAACUUCUUGUUUGAAACUCAAGCAGCUCUCCAACAACAAGAAAUAGACUACCCGUAGAUCGGUGUCGCUGUGGUAAGCCUCCUUCCUUGCUGUCCACUGUAAGCAGACAAGGACUGUUGAUUAAAAGGCGUGGUUUUUUCCUCCA